UCCCUGGUGGCUCAGCUGGUAAAGAAUCUGCCUGCAACGCAGGAGACAUUGGUUCGAUUCCUGUAUUGGGAA
This 72-nucleotide transfer RNA is filed under the name Ovis aries (sheep). It matches the Rfam family "tRNA". Rfam says of the family: Transfer RNA (tRNA) molecules are approximately 80 nucleotides in length. Their secondary structure includes four short double-helical elements and three loops (D, anti-codon, and T loops). The record is from Rfam by way of RNAcentral. Lineage: Eukaryota; Metazoa; Chordata; Mammalia; Artiodactyla; Bovidae.